Molecule: non-coding RNA, 28 nt
Filed under: Homo sapiens (human)
Lineage: Eukaryota; Metazoa; Chordata; Mammalia; Primates; Hominidae
Source: RNAcentral
UGGACCACAAGACGAUAAACCAGCGAGG